RNAcentral lists this ribosomal RNA (450 nucleotides) under uncultured bacterium. RNAcentral's name for it is "bacterial SSU rRNA". It matches the Rfam family "Bacterial small subunit ribosomal RNA", at positions 29 to 524 of the family's 1533-position model. The record is from RNAcentral.
AACGAACGCUGGCGGCAUGCCUAACACAUGCAAGUCGAACGAAGUCUUCGGACUUAGUGGCGCACGGGUGCGUAACGCGUGGGAAUCUGCCCUUGGGUGCGGAAUAACUUCUCGAAAGGGAUGCUAAUACCGCAUAAUGUCGUAAGACCAAAGAUUUAUCGCCCAAGGAUGAGCCCGCGUAAGAUUAGCUAGUUGGUGGGGUAAAAGCCUACCAAGGCGACGAUCUUUAGCUGGUCUGAGAGGAUGAUCAGCCACACUGGGACUGAGACACGGCCCAGACUCCUACGGGAGGCAGCAAUGGGGAAUAUUGGACAAUGGGCGAAAGCCUGAUCCAGCAAUGCCGCGUGAGUGAUGAAGGCCUUAGGGUUGUAAAGCUCUUUUACCCGGGAUGAUAAUGACAGUACCGGGAGAAUAAGCUCCGGCUAACUCCGUGCCAGCAGCCGCGGUAAU